Long non-coding RNA from Ostrea edulis (European flat oyster), 833 nucleotides. RefSeq lists it as uncharacterized. The record is from RefSeq and is a predicted model, not a curated record. The transcript has 3 exons. Lineage: Eukaryota; Metazoa; Mollusca; Bivalvia; Ostreida; Ostreidae.
AAUAUUCGCAAGGAUGGAGAACAUUCAACAGAAUCAGUAUGCAAUCAAGCAUGGAAUGGAUUCCAGAUAGGAAUAUAGGAUUCACCUUACACUCAGAAACUGGGGGAUAGGCCUAGUUGUUCAAAAUACACGGCGUUGCUGCAUGGACUUGAAGAGAUAGUUAUGAAUUUAGAAUAUCAUCAAGUGACUUUUAAUAAGGCACUGUUUUCAGUGGAUGAACCGACAUCAUGCAGUGUGACAGGAAAACGCCCGUGAGACCAAAGAUGGCUUAGAUAAAAGGGAAGACGAUGCAGAAGCCUCUGUACCAGAGAAAAAUCCAGAGAUGGCCCUCAAAGAAGUUAGAAACAAGAUGAGAGACCGUCUCAAGUUGUUUAGGUCUGGAGCCACCUUCCCCCACCCACGAGUCGAAGAAAUAGAUCUUUGAACCACUCCAGGUUACCCGUGACAUCAAGAUAAACAAAAUUCAACUUCAGGGACAAUUUGAUAAUACCUGUUUAAAAUUUUUUUUUUAGCUCACCUGGGCCGAAGGUUCAAGUGAGCUUUUCUGAUCAAAAUUUGUUCGUUGUCUGUCGUCGGUGAAAACUUUUCACAUUUUCAUCUUCUCCAGAACCACUGGGUCAAUUUCAACCAAACUAAGUGACACAAAGCACCCUUGGGUGAAAGGCUUUCAAGUUUGUUCAAAUGAAGGGCCAUGCCCCUUCAAAGGGGAGAUAAUCGCAAAAAUACGGUGGGGUCAUUCAAAAAUCUUCUCAAGAACCACUGGGACAGAGAAGCUGAAAUUUACAUGAAAGCCUCCUGACAUAGUACAGAUUCAAGUUUGUUAAAACCAAUGA